Molecule: long non-coding RNA, 1063 nt
Organism: Cercocebus atys (sooty mangabey)
Lineage: Eukaryota; Metazoa; Chordata; Mammalia; Primates; Cercopithecidae
Exons: 5
Source: RefSeq, a predicted model, not a curated record
CGGCUCUUUGCAUUCUCCUGCCGCCCCUUUCCCGAGCGCCUGCGCGGGCACCGCCCUGCGUUCUUGCUCUCGCGGGCGCUGCGCGGCCUAAGGGACUCGGCUGCCGGCCUCCGGGUGCGGGGUGGGGGCGGGCUCUGACCUGGGGCAUCCUGGCCGCGUGAGCCGCGGGAUGGGGCCCGGGCCGCGGAGGAGGUGCCGCUGCUGUGUUCUUUGGUGGCGAGGGCGCUGCCCGGCCCUGCGCGGUUUCCAGCCAGGAAGCUUCGAGAAUCCUGGCAGUGUCCACGCGUCCGGUGGUUUCCGUGUCACUGUGGCUGCUCAGCGGGAGGCUGUUCUGGCCGAAGGAGGACUGCUCAGUUGUCUGGCGGGCAUUCCGCCUCGUGGUCCUGGUACCUUGGUGCCUGCAGGGGAUCAGCAGCCCGCGUUCCGUGGCACAGUGUUGUAACUCCAGCUUCCCCUCCCGCAAAUUAACCAGAGAGACGUGUGCUCACUGGAAAACGGCAUGUGCUUGGGGUGUUGGGAAGGAGGUGACUUCGCCUGUGAUGGACUUCCAGUGUGAGCACUGGCCAGGGUGACCAGGCUGACCUGCACCAGCCCUGAUCAAGAUGCAGAGGCCAGGAUGUGGGCCCAGCCCUGUGCAGGAGGCUGGCUGGAAUAAAGGUACAGAUACAGGCCUGCCCCCUCUGGGACCACUGGCACUCGGGGUGUUUGCAGCCUCAGAGCCCAGCUUUCCACAUGCCCACCUGCCCCCAGGGCCACAGCUGCAUCUCCUGCUCUGCUUUCAUUACAGGGAUGAGCAGGCUGGCAUUGGGGCACUCGCUGCCCCUGCCUGGGUAGUGCUGUGUAUUCCAGCCAGGGGCCACUGCCAGGACCACCCCUCCAUUUUCAUAUCGCGAUUCUUAAGUUCUGCCAUUGUGGUAUUCUGGUGGAAAAAAAAAAAACCGGUUGCUUGGCUGUUUUUGAACUGCCUGGAACCUAAGAUCCUGAAUUUUCCCCUCUAAGGGGGAAAAUAUAUAUGGAAAACGUUUAUUUUGAAAUACAGAAUGAAGUGAAUUAAAAGAUUUAA